CCUACGGGUGGCAGCAGUGAGGAAUAUUGGUCAAUGGGCGCAAGCCUGAACGAGCAAUGCCGCGUGAACGAGGAAGGUCUUCGGAUCGUAAAGUUCUGUUGAAGGGGAAAAAGAGCGGAGAGAGGAAAUGAACUCCGAUUGAUAUUACCCUUCGAGGAAGUCACGGCUAACUACGUGCCAGCAGCCGCGGUAAUACGUAGGUGGCGAGCGUUAUCCGGAAUGAGUGGGCGUAAAGGGUGAGUAGGCGGCCUGCUAAGUCUGGAGUGAAAGGUACCGGCUCAACCGGUAUAGGCUCUGGAAACUGGCGGGCUAGAGAGCAGGAGAGGGCGGUGGAACUCCAUGUGUAGCGGUAAAAUGCGUAGAUAUAUGGAAGAACACCAGUGGCGAAGGCGGCCGCCUGGCCUGUUACUGACGCUGAGGCACGAAAGCGUGGGGAGCAAAUAGGAUUAGAUACCCCUGUAGUC
Molecule: ribosomal RNA, 464 nt
Filed under: uncultured bacterium
Lineage: Bacteria
Description: partial 16S ribosomal RNA
Rfam family: Bacterial small subunit ribosomal RNA
Source: RNAcentral